CCCAGCGUGCACUGGGUUCUUGCAGGUCUUUAGCACUUCUGCAAACCUCGGCGGCGAAAAAGGCAGCUGGAGGAAGCGCUUUGGAAGCAAAACUAACAGGAACUUUCAGGGUGGCGAGGGAGAAGAGAUGUAAACACAAAUAACCAGGCAAUAAAAGCAGAAGGAAAUCUGACCUAAGAUAGCCCACAAGGACAAUAUUAUGAUGGGGAACAGAAGAGUGAAGAAGAAUGAAGGUGUUCUGCUAUAGCUGCCAUGUAAAGGGUGGGUCCUAAUCCCAUUUGAGUGGGGUCCUAUAAAAGAGGAGAACAGACACGGAGAAUUAGAGGAAGAAUGGCCGUGUGAUGACAGAGGCAGGUGCAGCUGCAAGUCAAGGAAGCUAGGAGGCCUGCAUGAGACAGUUCUUCUCUCAGAGCCCUCAGAAGGAAUCAGCAUGGCUGAUACCCUGAUUUGGACUUCUAAGCCUCCAAAACUGUGAGACAAUAUAUUUCUGUUCUUUAAAACCACCCAGUUUGUAGCAUUUUGUUAUGACAGCCCCAGGAAACUAAGACACUAUCUGAAAUCAUGUGUUGUAUUUAUUUGUUUAUUCAUGACCUUUCCCCCCAACCAGAGUGCAAGCUCCAUGGGGCUAAAGACUUUGUCUGACUGGAUCCCAAGUACCCUAUGUUGUAGUAGGUGCUAAACUGAUGUUUUUUGAAUGAAUAAAAAAGCAUGCCAAUGUUCUUUCAUUUGAAGUAGAUAAAAGGGAAGAAGUCAGGUUUUCUGUGGAGAUUCUAAAGUGGAGGCCAUUUCUAGGGGUCACUGGGGUGGGCGGAGGCGGGUCAAGGUGGGCUGUCUUCUAGGCAGUGAAAAUGCUCCUGGCCCGCGCCAGCCCCUCACUGGCCCGUCUUUUUGUUGGGUCUGACGCAGACCUCAAGGAAACAUAAUAUUUUUAAUAAAACCUCAGAGUCAAUAAAGGUGAAUGGUCUCGGGUGCCUCCUCUGCUGGCCCCAGCUGUUGACUUGAGAAGUCAAGAGGUUGGGGUGUUGCCCAAUUCCCGUGUAGUUUGGGGAGAUAUAAGCUAGAAGGGCCUGACUCAUUUUAUAUGGAAACAAAACAAAACGAAACAAAAUUCAGUGGGUCCUGGAAAGAUUCCACUGCCAGCCAGAAUCAAAGGUCCAUUCAGAGUGACAGAACUCCUCACAUUCGCCGCUAAUGAAAACCAAAUUCCUCAUUCCUCUGAGUGUUUCCAGGGGCUGCAAUGGAAGGGGUUGCCGUGGAGCAGUUGGUCACCCCUCCUGCUGCCAAGAGGGCCCUGCUGUGUUAAAAUAGUUUUAUGAUAAUAUGGGCCUCAUAUUUUUCUAAUUUCAGGCGUCGGUGAUUUAGGACUAAGUUGUUUUCACGGAGAAAGAAAUAGAACCUGUUUGAGGCAAAGCAAGACUGGGGCUUUGACAGAUACUCCCACCGUGAGUAUGUUUACGGUGGGCGACCUGCCUUGAAGAGGCCUGAGACCCGUCUCCAGAGCGCCCUCUUGAGUGGGGGAGGACAGGCUGGUGUCA
Long non-coding RNA from Trichechus manatus latirostris (Florida manatee), 1535 nucleotides. RefSeq lists it as uncharacterized. The transcript is spliced from 4 exons. Lineage: Eukaryota; Metazoa; Chordata; Mammalia; Sirenia; Trichechidae. The record is from RefSeq and is a predicted model, not a curated record.